ACACAUACACAUAUCAAUAGCCAAGGAGAGGGUGAGAGAAGGAGAGUGUGAUUAGGGAGAAGUAGAGAAGAAGAAAAAAAGAAAAUGAAGAAAAAAGGUGCCUUCUUGAGUCAAGAUGGAUUUGGUGCCCUUGGAAUGGCUGAAGCUGAAUUGGGUGCUGAAGAUCGAUUUGGUGUUGCCAUUGGUAUUGGUGUUUGGGUUACACUUAGUGUUGCCAUUGGUGCUAAUGCUUGAGAUGAUGUUGAUCCAGCCUUAGUACACUGCAAUUGGCAAAAAAUAUUUGGUCCAAUCAAACAUAUAUUUAGUUGUAUUAAUUUAAAACGUUACCAACAAAGUAUGCACUCACCCUUUUCCUUUUA
Molecule: non-coding RNA, 359 nt
Organism: Camellia sinensis
Lineage: Eukaryota; Viridiplantae; Streptophyta; Magnoliopsida; Ericales; Theaceae
Source: RefSeq, a predicted model, not a curated record